RNAcentral lists this transfer RNA (81 nucleotides) under Melampsora larici-populina 98AG31. RNAcentral's name for it is "tRNA-Gly for anticodon CCC". It matches the Rfam family "tRNA". From Rfam's summary of the family: Transfer RNA (tRNA) molecules are approximately 80 nucleotides in length. Their secondary structure includes four short double-helical elements and three loops (D, anti-codon, and T loops). The record is from RNAcentral. Lineage: Eukaryota; Fungi; Basidiomycota; Pucciniomycetes; Pucciniales; Melampsoraceae.
ACAUCUGUGGUGUAGGGGUUAUCAUCUGAGCUUCCCAAAUUGGAUCUGCUCAGGACCCGGGUUCGAAUCUCGGCGGAUGUA